CGGGGCGUAGCUCAGUCUGGUAGAGCAUUCGGUUUGGGGCCGAAAGGUUCGCCGGUUCAAAUCCGGCCGCCCCGA
Molecule: transfer RNA, 75 nt
Filed under: Actinomycetota bacterium
Lineage: Bacteria; Bacillati; Actinomycetota
Description: tRNA-Pro
Rfam family: tRNA
About the family: Transfer RNA (tRNA) molecules are approximately 80 nucleotides in length. Their secondary structure includes four short double-helical elements and three loops (D, anti-codon, and T loops). Further hydrogen bonds mediate the characteristic L-shaped molecular structure. tRNAs have two regions of fundamental functional importance: the anti-codon, which is responsible for specific mRNA codon recognition, and the 3' end, to which the tRNAs corresponding amino acid is attached (by aminoacyl-tRNA synthetases). tRNAs cope with the degeneracy of the genetic code in two manners: having more than one tRNA (with a specific anti-codon) for a particular amino acid; and 'wobble' base-pairing, i.e. permitting non-standard base-pairing at the 3rd anti-codon position.
Source: RNAcentral